UACGUAGGGUGCGAGCGUUGUCCGGAAUUAUUGGGCGUAAAGGGCUCGUAGGCGGUUUGUCGCGUCGGGAGUGAAAUCCACUGGCUUAACUGGUGGCUUGCUUUCGAUACGGGCAGACUGGAGGUAUGCAGGGGAGAACGGAAUUCCUGGUGUAGCGGUGAAAUGCGCAGAUAUCAGGAGGAACACCGGUGGCGAAGGCGACUUCCUGGCCUGUUCUUGACGCUGAGGCGCGAAAGCUAGGGGAGCAAACGGG
This 253-nucleotide ribosomal RNA is filed under the name uncultured bacterium. RNAcentral describes it as "partial 16S ribosomal RNA". It matches the Rfam family "Bacterial small subunit ribosomal RNA", at positions 524 to 776 of the family's 1533-position model. The record is from RNAcentral.